GGGGAAUUUUGGACAAUGGGCGCAAGCCUGAUCCAGCCAUGCCGCGUGAGUGAAGAAGGCCUUCGGGUUGUAAAGCUCUUUCGCAAGGGAAGAAAACGUGUGGGCUAAUAUCCUGCGCGGAUGACGGUACCGUAAGAAGAAGCACCGGCUAACUACGUGCCAGCAGCCGCGGUAAUACGUAGGGUGCGAGCGUUAAUCGGAAUUACUGGGCGUAAAGCGUGCGCAGGCGGUGAUGUAAGACAGAUGUGAAAUCCCCGGGCUCAACCUGGGAACUGCGUUUGUGACUGGUCGGCUAGAGUACGGCAGAGGGGGGUGGAAUUCCACGUGUAGCAGUGAAAUGCGUAGAGAUGUGGAGGAACACCGAUGGCGAAGGCAGCCCCCUGGGCCGAUACUGACGCUCAUGCACGAAAGCGUGGGUAGCAAACA
RNAcentral lists this ribosomal RNA (426 nucleotides) under uncultured Rhodocyclaceae bacterium. RNAcentral's name for it is "bacterial SSU rRNA". It matches the Rfam family "Bacterial small subunit ribosomal RNA", at positions 356 to 774 of the family's 1533-position model. Lineage: Bacteria; Pseudomonadati; Pseudomonadota; Betaproteobacteria; Rhodocyclales; Rhodocyclaceae. The record is from RNAcentral.